GGAGGGCUAAUAUGCCGAGCCAACAAAGGCGAUUUGCUUGGAUACAGCUUGUCAAUGUCUGCCAAGCGAUUCAGAUGAUCAGCCCAAGCUUGCUCAGGGUCGAAUGGUUUCGCUGUAUUGUGAUAUUCAUGGCAAUGAAACAAAAAUUCGCUCGUGGCAAUCAUGCAUCCCUGUCUAUCUCACCCUUCUGAACUUUUUGAUGUUGGCUCAAAAUAAUUGGAUAUUCAUUGCAAUUAUUCUAUUCGAUAGGGUUUGAUCUAUACAGAAACGCAUCGAUAAACUUAUGCAACAUCGAGAAUUCAACAGUUCAUCAAGCAUUACGUGACUUUUAACAUUUAACGUGCGUUGUUAUAUGAAAUAUUGAUUUGUAAUUGAAGACAAAGCGAAUUUCUCGAUGUUACGUGCUUAAACAAAUGAAGAUUAUUGAGAAUGCUUGUUAUGUGUAAUCAAACUGCGACCUCCACCUCAGCUGCAAUAAUUAAUGUCUCCUAAAUAUUAUUUGUCAUUAUGGGCGAAAAAGCAAAAAAAUGAAAAGUCCUUCAAUUUUACACCAAAAAAUAAAAAAUCAAAAAUCUGAAGUGCAAGCGAAACGCAACGAAAAAUAUUGUUGCAUUCCAAUAUAAACUCGUCUGUGAAUAAUUUGAAUAACCAUCUUAAAAAAUACCACCAAAAAUGUCAUAAUGCUAUAGAUGUAUAAUAUCAUAUUAUGUGAAAGUUAUGCACGUUAGUAUCCAAUUAUAUUAUUUGUAAUGGAAGAAGCAACCUUGAACGGUUAAUUGAUUUUCGACAGACUGUAGCAUAUCAAUUCAUCAUAUCUGCUGCUAAAUUAUUUUCUAUAAAUUAUGUUAUUUUUUAAAAUUGCUUAUUCACAUUAUAAGACAACAUAUGUUGUAUUUAGUCUGUAUGAAGAUCUGUAGCAUGUUAUAUUAUCGAUUUAAUGAUACAGAAAUUAUACUAGUAUCACAAAUGAUUAUUGAUUAUUGAUACUAUCUACGUUCAAAUAAUUUUUAAUAAACUUUUUUAUUAUCAUGAUCGAGUUAAUCGUUAAUUGAUUUCUAAAACUAUUUUUAUCUCAUCAUGAUAUAUAUUAAUUUAAACACUAAUGAACACCAGUAGAGCGUUGAUCAUCAGUGGAUGUCAAGUGCUCCGUUCUUUUUUUGUCAAUUGAAUCUUAUUUUUCAUUUGAAAAAAAGAAAAAAUAAUUAUCGUAUUAUUUUAAAAAGAAAAAUAAAAAUGAAUCCAGUUUAACGAAUUAUAUAAUCGCGAGGCAGACAAGUUUUGGGGCACAUUUUAAAUAUAAUUAUAUAUAUUUAUACGUAUGUAUAGAUGCAUUUUUAUAUAGCGAUAUAAGUAUAAUAACUUAGAUACAAAGUGCAUGGAGUAAAAUAAAUUAGUAUUACACAUAUCAUGACAUGGUUUCGUGUACGUGAAGAGGUAUUGAGACACGGAUUAUAGAAUUAAAUUAUGAAUUUGAGAUAAAUUAACACGAUAAAAAUACGUAUAUGUCCGAGAGUGCAUAUACAUUUUACAUGUCGAAUAGGGAUGAUAUAUAAUACAAAAGUUUUUUCAAAAGGGUGAAGGUAGAACAUCCCAUAUAUUUUACAUUUUCUUGUUUCUUUUUACUCAUUUUCACUUUUUUUCUUUCUUUUUUAGUCACGAUUGAGGUGCAGGCAAAGGUGGAGGGCUUUUCUAAGGAUACAAGACGGAUCCUCCAAGAUGGCGUUUUUGGCUUCUGAGAAAGACUUUGGAGGGAAAAUUCGCAAAUUCUGGAAUAUUUACACCUCCGAC
This is a long non-coding RNA of Apis dorsata (giant honeybee), 1788 nucleotides long. RefSeq lists it as uncharacterized. The record is from RefSeq and is a predicted model, not a curated record. NCBI's taxonomy places the organism in Eukaryota, Metazoa, Arthropoda, Insecta, Hymenoptera, Apidae. The transcript is spliced from 4 exons.